GCGGCGUGCCUAAUACAUGCAAGUCGAACGAGUUCUGAUUAUUGAAAGGUGCUUGCAUCUUGAUUUAAUUUUGAACGAGUGGCGGACGGGUGAGUAACACGUGGGUAACCUGCCCUUAAGUGGGGGAUAACGUUUGGAAACAGAUGCUAAUACCGCAUAAAUCCAAGAACCGCAUGGUUCUUGGCUGAAAGAUGGCGUAAGCUAUCGCUUUUGGAUGGACCCGCGGCGUAUUAGCUAGUUGGUGAGGUAACGGCUCACCAAGGCAAUGAUACGUAGCCGAACUGAAAGGUUGAUCGGCCACAUUGGGACUGAGACACGGCCCAAACUCCUACGGGAGGCAGCAGUAGGGAAUCUUCCACAAUGGACGCAAGUCUGAUGGAGCAACGCCGCGUGAGUGAAGAAGGCUUUCGGGUCGUAAAACUCUGUUGUUGGAGAAGAAUGGUCGGCAGAGUAACUGUUGUCGGCGUGACGGUAUCCAACCAGAAAGCCACGGCUAACUACGUGCCAGCAGCCGCGGUAAUACGUAGGUGGCAAGCGUUAUCCGGAUUUAUUGGGCGUAAAGCGAGCGCAGGCGGUUUUUUAAGUCUGAUGUGAAAGCCCUCGGCUUAACCGAGGAAGUGCAUCGGAAACUGGGAAACUUGAGUGCAGAAGAGGACAGUGGAACUCCAUGUGUAGCGGUGAAAUGCGUAGAUAUAUGGAAGAACACCAGUGGCGAAGGCGGCUGUCUGGUCUGUAACUGACGCUGAGGCUCGAAAGCAUGGGUAGCGAACAGGAUUAGAUACCCUGGUAGUCCAUGCCGUAAACGAAGAAUGCUAGGUGUUGGAGGGUUUCCGCCCUUCAGUGCCGCAGCUAACGCAUUAAGCAUUUCGAAUGGGGAGUGCGACCGCAAGGUUGAAACUCAAAGGAAUUGACGGGGGCCCGCACAAGCGGUCGAGCAUGUGGUUUAAUUCGAAGCAACGCGAAGAACCUUAGCAGGUCUUGACAUCUUUUGAUCACCUGAGAGAUCAGGUUUCCCCUUCGGGGGCAAAAUGACAGGUGGUGCAUGGUUGUCGUCAGCUCGUGUCGUGAGAUGUUGGGUUAAGUCCCGCAACGAGCGCAACCCUUAUGACUAGUUGCCAGCAUUUAGUUGGGCACUCUAGUAAGACUGCCGGUGACAAACCGGAGGAAGGAGGGGAUGACGUCAAAUCAUCAUUCCCCUUAUGACCUGGGCUACACACGUGCUACAAUGGAUGGUACAACGAGUUGCGAGACCGCGAGGUCAAGCUAAUCUCUUAAAGCCAUUCUCAGUUCGGACUGUAGGCUGUAACUCGCCUACACGAAGUCGGAAUCGUUAGUAAUCGCGGAUCAGCACGCCGCGGUGAAUACGUUCCCGGGCCUUGUACACACCGCCCGUCACACCAUGAGAGUUUGUAACACCCGAAGCCGGUGGCGUAACCCUUUUAGGGAGCGAGCCGUCUAAGGUGGGACAAAUGAUUAGGGUGAA
This 1483-nucleotide ribosomal RNA is filed under the name uncultured organism. RNAcentral's name for it is "SSU rRNA". It matches the Rfam family "Bacterial small subunit ribosomal RNA". The record is from RNAcentral.